UGAGUAACGCGUGGAUAACCUACCUCAAGGUCUGGGAUAACAGCUCGAAAGGGCUGCUAAUACCGGAUGUGGUGCAUAUGCUGCAUGGUAGAUGCACUAAAGGGGAAACCCGCCAUGAGAUGGGUCCGCGUCCUAUCAGCUAGUUGGUGGGGUAAAGGCCUACCAAGGCGACGACGGGUAGCCGGCCUGAGAGGGUGACCGGCCACACUGGGACUGAGACACGGCCCAGACUCCUACGGGGGGCAGCGGUGGGGAAUAUUGCACAAUGGGCGAAAGCCUGAUGCAGCGACGCCGCGUGGGCGAAGAAGGCCUUCGGGUUGUAAAGCCCUGUCUGGAGGGACGAAGUAAUGACGGUACCUCCGGAGGAAGCCACGGCUAACUACGUGCCAGCAGCCGCGGUAAUACGUAGGUGGCGAGCGUUGUCCGGAAUUACUGGGCGUAAAGGGCGUGCAGGCGGCCACUUAAGUCGGGCGUGAA
Molecule: ribosomal RNA, 477 nt
Filed under: uncultured bacterium
Lineage: Bacteria
Description: bacterial SSU rRNA
Rfam family: Bacterial small subunit ribosomal RNA
Source: RNAcentral